This is a long non-coding RNA of Nannospalax galili (Upper Galilee mountains blind mole rat), 331 nucleotides long. RefSeq lists it as uncharacterized. The transcript is spliced from 2 exons. NCBI's taxonomy places the organism in Eukaryota, Metazoa, Chordata, Mammalia, Rodentia, Spalacidae. The record is from RefSeq and is a predicted model, not a curated record.
UAUCUCUUCUUAUUUUUUAGGGAACACUUAACAUUUUGGAAGAGGAGAACCACAUUAAAGAUGUUCUGUCUCGAAUUGUAGUAGAAAUGAUCAAACGAGAAUGGCCACAGCACUGGCCUGACAUGCUGAUGGAGUUGGACACUCUCUCUAGGCAAGGGGAGACACAAAGAGAAUUAGUGAUGUUCAUCCUUUUACGAUUGGCAGAGGAUGUAGUGACCUUUCAGACCCUUCCUUCUCAAAGAAGAAGGGAUAUUCAGCAAACCUUAACUCAGAACAUGGAAAGGAUCUUCAAUUUUCUACUUAACACACUUCAGGAAAAUGUAAACAAGUA